This is a non-coding RNA of Pelobates cultripes (western spadefoot toad), 353 nucleotides long. NCBI's taxonomy places the organism in Eukaryota, Metazoa, Chordata, Amphibia, Anura, Pelobatidae. The record is from the annotation of a GenBank genome assembly.
GACUGGGAAAAAAAUUCGGCCCGGGCAUUUUUUUAUCACAGCGGCCCACUAAGAAGGGGGCGGGGCAGAGAGGGUGUGUUUUGUCAUCACUCAUGACAAACACGCCUCCUCUCAAAGUGAGCAUGUUGGUUCAAUGCUCUUCCAGGGCAGACCAUGCACAGAGCUCUGCUGAAGAGCUCUAGCAUGAGAAAAAAGCCCUGUAUUUGUUCUGUGCCGUGCAAGCAAAUUUAAUAACAUGCUUGCACUGUGUUUCCUUGCAACUUGUCUCUGGUGUCUCUAUAAAUGGAUACCAGGAGACAAAAGGGCCAGGAAAGAGUAUUGUGCAUGUGUUUGGAGCCUGCUUGGGAUAUUGC